AGGAUGUUGCAGUCAGGUUAUUUGUAUAUCAAGAGUUUUCAGAUGAUGUGAUCGUAUCCUUUAAAAUGGAGGUUUUUUGAUAUUCAUCAGGUUAUCCUUAACGAAAAAGGCUUGGACAUCCUAAUAUUUUCCUUUUCAUGGGGGCUGUAACUUCAACACCUCAGUAUCUAUGCAUUGUGACCGAGUACCUUCCCGGAACCCAUAAGAUAUCCGUGGGCCCAAACCGGAGCUGAGUAUGUCAUUGAAUCCACUGAAGUGUUUGUCGGCAAGUAUUUUUAAACAUGAAAUUUCUAUAGCCAAUGGGCUAAACACAUAAAAUAAUUUAAAUGUAGAACUGUUAAACAUAAAUCCAUUAUAUAGAAUUAUAGACUUAACGUUACAAGUUCGGUUUGGUUUCGAUUAUAUCGGUUAACCAAAGCUUCAUAACCAUAACCAUAAACGAUUGAUCGGUUAACCAAAGUUUCAUAAUCAUAACCAUCGGUAAUGUUGGUUAUCAGUUAAAAUCGGUUCGAUUAUGUCGGUUAUGGCGGUUAAUUUGUUCAUUCCUACAAGUAGGUUAUGAAUUUACAUUUAGGUAUAUAAUCAUGAUGAAUGCGUUGGUGGUUUUUGGCUUUUACUUUGUACUAAUACAAGUUUUAUACAUUUAUAGUUAAAUUAGAUGUAUAUAUGAUUCUCUGCAAAGUUUGAUUAAAAAGGUUUAUAUACCUGGUAAUCUUUUCAUUUGCAGGUGUAAGUGUUUUUUUGCCAACUCACAACUCAUUGUAACACAUAAUAUUUAAACUUUAUUGUAUUUGGCAUGUUUAAGAAGAUAGGUUAGUUGCAGUAUAAUGUCGAUGUUUUCUUGUGAUUCCAAUCUAUGAAUGUGGUUUUGCUUUUAAGACACACUUUUUAUGAAGUUGUAAAAUGGUUGUAAAUAUUUAGUAAUUAGGACUGGAUUACUUGCCAAAAGCACAAAUAAUUGUUACCGAAGUUGUUUAAUUUGUUGUAGUGUACUAACUAACUUUAUUAAUUAAUAUAUAACAGUAAUGAGGUUUAAUAACAGUUUUUCUAACCUUUAGAAAUAAUUUCGUUUAUAUUUCCGAGACGCUAUUUGUGUGUUUAAAAUGAUUACACACAAAAUUAAGCGAGGAACAACUAUACUUGCAAGGUUGAAGAUUUACAAAGGAGUUCCAACUCCUCACAACAGGAAGAAAAGAAUGGUCUUUCCUUAUGUUCUCAAGUUAGUGUAGAAUAUCCACUGAUUUAUGAAUUUGAUGUGCUUGAUAUCAGUCGAGGUGAUUUGUUACCCAUGACUUGCGGCUUUGCACUCUCUUUAAGUUAAACGCGUUCUGAUAGCUGCAAGCAUUUAACAUACAUUUUGGGUGAGCUUCAACUCAUUUAAACUGUUUCCCUUUUAGCGAUAACCCAUAAUCUAACUCUACAAAUUUGUUGAUGUUGCCACCUCUAGGUUUUACUUUUGGGAGUGUCUAUCGUUAAUUCGACUGAUUUCUUUGGGUCUAAUAUCCAUAUUAUGUUAUUUUAUAUGGUAUGCUUUCAUUUUCUAUGUUGGCUUUAGAUGUUAUUUUUUCUGAUUUUAGCUCUUAAUCUCUGAACUAUGUAGAUGUGAUGAAUAUUUGUUAAAAGUUCUUCUCAUCUAGAAACAAAUUUAAGAAAAUUCUUACUACUCAAAUUUAGUGGAAUGUGUUGGUGAUACUAAUGGUUUAAAUGUAGUUUCUCUUAAAAGCAGGUUGAAGAAACAGGCCUCAACUGUCACUUUCUCAGUUGUAGAAAAUAAUCGUUAUAUGGUUGAACCCGAGCCCAUAUAACAAAGUGCUAGAAGGAGCGUGCAUUGGUAACAAACUUAUUCUUUUGUGGACUUUUUUUGCGGGUACUACUUAUCGUUCAACAACUUUUGCAAGAGAACAGGUACGAGUCGAAAUGAGAUAUAUAUUAUAUGCAUCCUUGGGUGUUCAACAAAUAGGAUUAGCUUCUUUUGAUACAUCAAAUGUAUAUUGUUAAUUAGUUCCCAUUUUAGUUUAAGCAUUCUUAAUGUUUUUCACAUUAGCUAAAAGGUGUUGUUUCUAAGAUGUCUAGGUUAAAUUUCAAAUGAUAAAAACAAACUUUAUUGAUUUAGCUAAAAUCCGAGAUGGUUAUUUUUUUAGUUUUUAAGUAUAUACUACUUUUUUUCCGGCGAAUCGACGAGUGACUAAGCUUGGUUGGAUUUUUAGCUCAUAAAGAUCGUUUAGAAAUAAAACAAGUCCGAGUAAUCGAGAUAUAGAAGAAAGAAGAUGCAAGACAUGUGGAUAAUACACACAUGGUGUAUAAAGAAAUCUUUAACGAUUUUUUAUUUUUUUUUUGUAUUUCUUUUUUUUUCAAUUCGUUGUAAUUUAAUAUUUACCCAAGUAAAGGAAUGAUCUCAACGCCAAUAAAUAUUAUAUGCCGGUGUGAA
Molecule: long non-coding RNA, 2428 nt
Organism: Helianthus annuus (common sunflower)
Lineage: Eukaryota; Viridiplantae; Streptophyta; Magnoliopsida; Asterales; Asteraceae
Exons: 3
Source: RefSeq, a predicted model, not a curated record